GACGAACGCUGGCGGCGUGCCUAAUACAUGCAAGUUGAGCGCUGAAGGUUGGUACUUGUACCAACUGGAUGAGCAGCGAACGGGUGAGUAACGCGUGGGGAAUCUGCCUUUGAGCGGGGGACAACAUUUGGAAACGAAUGCUAAUACCGCAUAAAAACUUUAAACACAAGUUUUAAGUUUGAAAGAUGCAAUUGCAUCACUCAAAGAUGAUCCCGCGUUGUAUUAGCUAGUUGGUGAGGUAAAGGCUCACCAAGGCGAUGAUACAUAGCCGACCUGAGAGGGUGAUCGGCCAAAUUGGGACUGAGACACGGCCCAAACUCCUACGGGAGGCAGCAGUAGGGAAUCUUCGGCAAUGGACGAAAGUCUGACCGAGCAACGCCGCGUGAGUGAAGAAGGUUUUCGGAUCGUAAAACUCUGUUGGUAGGGAAGAACGUUGGUGAGAGUGGAAAGCUCAUCAAGUGACGGUAACUACCCAGAAAGGGACGGCUAACUACGUG
This 497-nucleotide ribosomal RNA is filed under the name uncultured bacterium. RNAcentral's name for it is "partial 16S ribosomal RNA". It matches the Rfam family "Bacterial small subunit ribosomal RNA", at positions 28 to 507 of the family's 1533-position model. The record is from RNAcentral.